AUCUUCUACUUUGAGUUUAAUUGUCACAAUUUAUUAUAUUAUGCAACACAUUCAGUUUAGACACGACCCUGUUGUUUUCUAGUUAGUACGGUGUCCGUUUUAAAUGGCUGUUGGUUGGUGGCCCCAGGUCGCAUUCUUGGCCGCGUUCUUAGUGAUCUGUUUCAUCAUAUUCAUUUUGAUUGAGUGUUGCUGCGUUCGAUCGACAUUGGGACCUUUUCAAGUUCUUGGUGGUGGUCAACUUGUAACAAUGCAGAGAUUGAGGGCAAUGGAAAACCUUGCAAUUCCUCAAGAGUGGAUCGACCAUUUUCAGUAUCAAUAUCAACCACCUCCACCUUAUGAACCUCCUCCAAAUUAUGGGGACAUUUCAAUACUUCCCAUCAGUACAUGUAUAGCGACAAUACAAAUAGUUUAAAAGUAAUUUUUGCGUACUUAAAUAGAACAAUUAAGGUUAUGUAAAGGACUUCAAAUGUUGCGACCAAACUACAUUAUUUUUUAAAUUGAAUCCAUAAAUAAAAGGUCACAAAUAUUAAUCUCAUUUUUGUGUAUGCAACUCACUGCGCUCAGGAUGUAGCAAAAUGGCAGAGUUGUCGGUAUACGUAACUAUAAAAUGUGGAGAUAAAUGGGGUAAUAUUUUGCAAUAUUUAUUUAUUUCCCAAAUGCUAAUUCCAGACGACUCGACUAUGUAGGUUGAUAUUGCCAAAUCCUGAUAACAUUUUGUGCAGUCUUGCACUGCAUAGCAUAUUGUGUGCAGCCAAUGAUUGAAACAAUAAAUACGAAUGCGUGCAAAAAGUAAAACUGGGAUAAUUUACAUGCGAAGUUCUUUGUAGUCAUAAAGCAGUUUGUGAAAUGUGGGAUAUUUAACAACAUUUAUUCAUCAUACACAAACUAACCACAAAUACACAUCGAGAGAGCAAUAAUCAAAAAGACUGGUACAAAGUUUCAUUUUUUCGUGAGGCUUGUGUUAUAAUUGUCGCAAUAAUGAGUAAUCCGUACGAAGGGUACAAAUUGUACAGAUUAACAGCCACUACAGAAGAACAAAGACAAACCUUAUUUAAUUUGGCAGAAGAGAAAAAUCCUGGGGUCAUAUUUCUUACGAGACUGGAUGAAAUCACAGUAGGAGAACCGACUGACAUAAUGGUACUGCCCGAACUGCAAGGGAAGUUUGUAGAGGAAUUGACCAAACGGGGUCUAGCGACACUAAUUCUGGGGGAAGUGAAGUGAUGCAUGUUACACAAAGGGCUUCCUGAACUGUGACCUGCCUUGGACAACAAUUCAAUGAUAUCAAACUGCACAACAAAUCGCACUUUCUUCUGCGGUGCCGAAUUAUUUUACGAAAAAUGUUCAUAUCAUGCUUGUUAAAUUAAAUUUAGAAACUAAUUCAAACUUUUUUGACAAGAAUCAAAUUACAAACUAUGCGUUUACUCAUGUCCUCCAUCAUUUAAUGACUUUUUUUACAAUUUACUUUUAGUUACAUUUUUGUGUUAUUUAGCGUAGCAAAUUAUCCUGUUCCCAAUUUGUGAGUCAAUUGUCAUUAAAAUAAAUAUGACUUAACAAAUAAGUGAAUAUAAUUUACACGACUUCCUCUUUAAGCCCAACAUUUUAUUUGCACAAUGGAAGUAAUGCAAUGUAAAAUGAGAAGAUUUUACGUAUUUCUCUCUCAACUUUUCUGCUCAAUUAGUACUGCAUUGUGUUUUGUUGCGUUAUACGGUUGACGGUUGGAUAGAUCUUUCAUAAUAAGUAAUAGCACGAAUAAUAUCAUAUCACCAAACCAACUGAACUAACGUAGAUGUACAUACAGACGAAUGCACAUACAUACCUCACCUGUAAUCAACUCCGCCUUUGCACAGGUGAGAGGUUGCUUCAAAUAAUGGAAUUAACAAUGUGAGUUUAUUACACUCCGUCCACCAAAGAGUUUAUUAAAGUAGGGAAAUAAAAAUCCGUCCAGUAAUUUUAGAAACCGAAUCUCACAUAAAAAUCUCAGAGUUUAGAAAAGUGAACCCUUUAAGAUUAACUUUAAGAUCAUGCGAGUAGUCAAAGUUUGUGAAAUAUAAUGCAUAUGCACAUAAUGUAAAUUCGUUAUAAACGUAAGAAUACCACAGUGAGAUUAUUAAAUAGUUAGGGUCAACUGCAUGUAUAUAAAAGAAGGAUGAGGAUUUUUAUGAAGGGGGUAAGAAAUGAUUUUAAAAAGUCAAAAUGAGUGAUCGAAAACAAAACGAAUCCGUGAGCCAUGCACUUCUUGCUCUGGGAAUUGUUGCACUUCUCAUAGCAUCCAUUAUAAUCGCAUGGGUUAUAGUAUGCUGCGAGAGGUGUCGGAGGAAGAGAAAGUACCGACCCGGUCAGCAAAAUCG
This is an RNA transcript of Folsomia candida, 2348 nucleotides long. RefSeq lists it as uncharacterized. The transcript is spliced from 5 exons. Lineage: Eukaryota; Metazoa; Arthropoda; Collembola; Entomobryomorpha; Isotomidae. The record is from RefSeq and is a predicted model, not a curated record.